RNAcentral lists this unclassified non-coding RNA (200 nucleotides) under soil metagenome. RNAcentral describes it as "partial contains internal transcribed spacer 2 and large subunit ribosomal RNA". The record is from RNAcentral.
ACUUUGCAGCGUCACUGCUGCUGGUCCUAAAAGUAUUAGCUGGCCCUUGUCAAGACUUGGUUCUACUCGGCGUGAUAAUUAUCUAACGUUGAGGACAUUCCUUCGGGGAUGGCCAAUCUAGCUAGGAUCGCUUCUAAUCGUCUUCGGACAAUUUUCAAUGAUCUGGCCUCGAAUCAGGUGGGACUACCCGCUGAACUUAA